RNAcentral lists this ribosomal RNA (484 nucleotides) under uncultured bacterium. RNAcentral's name for it is "partial 16S ribosomal RNA". It matches the Rfam family "Bacterial small subunit ribosomal RNA", at positions 30 to 507 of the family's 1533-position model. The record is from RNAcentral.
AUUGAACGCUAGCGGGAUGCUUUACACAUGCAAGUCGAACGGCAGCGCGGACUUCGGUCUGGCGGCGAGUGGCGAACGGGUGAGUAAUGUAUCGGAACGUGCCCAGUAGCGGGGGAUAACUACGCGAAAGCGUAGCUAAUACCGCAUACGCCCUACGGGGGAAAGCAGGGGAUCGUAAGACCUUGCACUAUUGGAGCGGCCGAUAUCGGAUUAGCUAGUUUGUGAGGUAACGGCUCACCAAGGCGACGAUCCGUAGCUGGUUUGAGAGGACGACCAGCCACACUGGGACUGAGACACGGCCCAGACUCCUACGGGAGGCAGCAGUGGGGAAUUUUGGACAAUGGGGGCAACCCUGAUCCAGCCAUCCCGCGUGUGCGAUGAAGGCCUUCGGGUUGUAAAGCACUUUUGGCAGGAAAGAAACGUCGCGGGCUAAUACCCCGUGGAACUGACGGUACCUGCAGAAUAAGCACCGGCUAACUACGUG